RNAcentral lists this ribosomal RNA (300 nucleotides) under uncultured Halogeometricum sp. Its description in RNAcentral is "bacterial SSU rRNA". It matches the Rfam family "Bacterial small subunit ribosomal RNA", at positions 497 to 795 of the family's 1533-position model. Lineage: Archaea; Methanobacteriati; Methanobacteriota; Halobacteria; Halobacteriales; Haloferacaceae. The record is from RNAcentral.
UGGACAGCGUGGGCUAGCGCGCGCGGUAGAACGUAGGGGGAGAGCGGUAAUCGGAAUUACGGGGAGUAAAGCGUGCGCAGGCGGUGCUGUAAGGCAGAUGUGAAAUCCCCGGGCUCAACCUGGGAACUGCGUUUGUGACUGCAUCACUCGAGUACGGCAGAGGGAGGUGGAAGUCCACGUGUAGCAGUGAAAUGCGUAGAGAUGUGGAGGAACACCGAUGGCGAAGGCAGCCUCCUGGGCCAGUACUGACGCUCAUGCACGAAAGCGUGGGGAGCAAACAGGAUUAGAUACCCGAGAGUC